This 253-nucleotide ribosomal RNA is filed under the name uncultured bacterium. Its description in RNAcentral is "partial 16S ribosomal RNA". It matches the Rfam family "Bacterial small subunit ribosomal RNA", at positions 80 to 334 of the family's 1533-position model. The record is from RNAcentral.
UAUAAGUGAUGGCGACCGGCGCACGGGUGAGUAACACGUAUCCAACCUGCCGAUAACUCGGGGAUAGCCUCUCGAAAGAAAGAUUAAUACCCGAUGGUAUAAUAAAACCGCAUGGUUUAAUUAUUAAAGAAUUUCGGUUAUCGAUGGGGAUGCGUUCCAUUAGGCAGUUGGUGAGGUAACGGCUCACCAAACCUUCGAUGGAUAGGGGUUCUGAGAGGAAGGUCCCCCACAUUGGAACUGAGACACGGUCCAA